RNAcentral lists this long non-coding RNA (817 nucleotides) under Marmota monax (woodchuck). Lineage: Eukaryota; Metazoa; Chordata; Mammalia; Rodentia; Sciuridae. The record is from RNAcentral.
UUAUAAUUAGGAAAGACAAAUACUUUUGUUAUUAUUAAUGUUGCUUAUUAUUUAUUGUUUUGCUGAUGCUGAGUGACUAAGCAAGAAAAGAAAAAGAAAUGUUUAUAAAAUUAGAAUUAAAAGGUAAAAAUAACAUAAUUAAAAAUGUGAUUUAAAAUAUUUUAAAAUAAUGAGUGCACAGGCCUUAAAUAUAAAAAAACCAUUAAAAAUAGAUAUUAAGAUUUUAUUGAAAGUUCAUAUUUAAAACUCAAUUGUCUUCCUAAAUAUAAAUACAAGGAAACUGUUGUUCAUAUGUUAUGACCCCAAAUCAGGAAAAAGCAUAGAAAUAAACCUUUUACUAACAAGCCUAGAAAUAAAUUUGCUAAUUAAUAUUUCUACUGAUGAACAUAAAAUGUAAAGCAUUCAAGGAUAAAAGACAACAUUUUUGCAGAUAUACAUUAUCUCUAUACAUCUGCAUAUUUAAUGUGAUUCUGUUGGAGGACAAAUGCACUGUAUCUAGAAAUGAUAUGUUCUUUAAAAACACAUUCUAAAGUUUAUAAGGCAGAAAAAUUACAAUAAUAGCUAAAUAGUCUGAAAAAGAUAAUGUACUAUAAUAUUGUAGACACUAUCUUGUAUUCAAGCACUUCAUAAUGAACAUAUGUGAAUGAGCAGACUGAUUAGAGUACAUAGGAUUAAAUGCAAGCACAUGUAGGGAUAGAUCAUAUGCUAAUAGUGGCAUUUCAUGUCAGUAAAGGAAGAUUAGUUGAUUCAAUAAUUAGUGCUAGAAAUCUCAGUACACAUCUGGCAAAGAAAACUCUUAUAAAAUUUGAGUUUUUAC